GUAGUUAUUAGAUGAAGAAGCAACAUAAUAGGUGACUAAUCAUAACAUUUCUGAUCAUCUCAAAUAUGACAUCUCAUCCAAGUUUUUUCCGACUCAUCAUUAGUCGGUAGUAUAUUGGCGUCCUGUGGCGACAACGGGUAGCGGGGAAGAAGGGUUGGUUUCUUGAGAGGGAGCAUCAGAAGAGGCUGCCACAUCUUAGGAAGACAGCAGCAGGGCAACUAAUUCAAUCAUCAUACAGCGAGGUAGUGACAACAAAUAACAACACAGCAGUUUUUGGUUUUGUAAUAGGAAGAAGUUAAGAAUAAUCCCCUCCUCAACUAUCAUCAGGAGGACAACUAUUGUGCCAGCAGCAGCGGUAAUUCCAGCUGCUACAGUGGAUAUUAAAGAAGUUGCAGCUAAAAAAAUGGUAGUAGGAUUUUUUUUAAUAAUAAAUAUAAAAUAUUUUGAUGAAUAUUUAUAUAAUAUUAACAUAAUUCAUAUUACUAUAUUUUUUAGUAUAUGAAAUUUUACUUUGAGAAAAUUAGAGUGCUUAAAGCAGGCAUAUGCCUUGAAUACUCCAGCAUGGAAUAAUAUUAAAGAUUUUUAUCUUUCUUAUUGGUUCUAAGAUAAGAAUAAUGAUUAAUAGGGACAGUUGGGGGCAUUUGUAUUUAACAGUCAGAGGUGAAAUUCUUAGAUUUGUUAAAGACAAACUAAUGCGAAAGCAUUUGCCAAGGAUGUUUUCAUUAAUCAAGAACGAAAGUUAGGGGAUCGAAGACGAUCAGAUACCGU
RNAcentral lists this ribosomal RNA (768 nucleotides) under Cryptosporidium sp. RNAcentral describes it as "SSU rRNA". It matches the Rfam family "Eukaryotic small subunit ribosomal RNA", at positions 203 to 1018 of the family's 1831-position model. The record is from RNAcentral. Lineage: Eukaryota; Apicomplexa; Conoidasida; Eucoccidiorida; Cryptosporidiidae.